Molecule: unclassified non-coding RNA, 160 nt
Filed under: uncultured fungus
Lineage: Eukaryota; Fungi
Description: sequence contains ITS1, 5.8S rRNA gene
Source: RNAcentral
CCGAGUUCUGGCUGUAUAAGUGCGGCCGACUCCCACCCCAUGUCAAACUACCUGUUGCUUCGGCGAGUCGACAGCUUUGCUGCCGUCGGUUUCAACGGGCGUGAGCUCGCCGAAGUUUUUAACACAUUUUUUGCUGUCUGAUUUAAAACAUAAAUUACAA